This 797-nucleotide long non-coding RNA is filed under the name Ananas comosus (pineapple). RNAcentral's name for it is "long non-coding RNA (ACOM_LNC033455)". Lineage: Eukaryota; Viridiplantae; Streptophyta; Magnoliopsida; Poales; Bromeliaceae. The record is from RNAcentral.
UAUAGAGUCCGGCUACUAUACUUUUAUGAGUAUUGGCUCCCUUAUACUCAUAAAUUUUCAGCCCUUAGAUUUAUUCCCUUAUCAUUUCCACCCGUUAGAUCAUACUAUUCAACCAACUACUCACUCAACCCUAGAGGACCAUUAUCAUUCUAAGUGGGGACCGCCAUCAUCCUAACCACACAUCCCAUCAAUCAAUGGUUAAAAAUUUAUGAGUACAAGGGAUUCUAUACUCAUAAGAGUAUAGUAUAUAUAUAUAUAUAUAUAUAUAUAGAGUCCGGCUACGGUGCUUGUAAAAGCACAAACAUUUGGUACUUGUAAGUUUUUUACCGUUAGAUCUACGUCUUUGAUCAUUUUCAACCGUUAAAUUAUACUAUUCAACCAACUACCCACUCAACCCUAGGGGGCCCACAUUAUCAUAACCGCACAUCUUUUAAUCCAAGGGCCGAAAACUUACAAGUACCAAUGACUUGGUACUUUUAAAAGCAUAGGAGCUCAAUUCUAUAUAUAUAUAUAUAGGCUGGGGUUACUAUUCUCAUAUAACUAUAGAGCCCUUUGUACUCAUAACUUUUCGGCCGUUCUGAUGAAAAAAUGUGCGGUUAGGAUGCCAGUGGUUUCGGUUAGGUUGAUAUUGGGCCCCCUAGGGUUGAAUGGGUGGUUGGCUGAAUAGUAUAAUCUAACAGGUAAAAUAAUUAAAGGGUAGAUCAAACGGCCAAAAACUUAUGAGUACAAGAGGCUCUAUACUUAUAAGAAUAUAGUAGUCGGAUUCUCUCUUUCUCUCUCUCUCUCUCUCUAUAUAU